GUGUCAGCAGCCGCGGUAAUACGGAGGGUGCAAGCAUUAAUCGGAUUUAUUGGGCGUAAAGGGCGCGUAGGCGGAAUGAAAAGUCAGAUGUGAAAUCCCGGGGCUCAACCUCGGAACAGCAUUUGAAACUCUCAUUCUAGAGGAUAGAUGGAGAAAACGGAAUUCCACAAGUAGCGGUGAAAUGCGUAGAUAUGUGGAAGAACACCGGUGGCGAAGGCGGUUUUCUAAUUUAGACCUGACGCUGAGGCGCGAAAGCAAGGGGAUCAAACAGGAUUAGAUACCCUGGUAGUCCUUGCCGUAAACUAUGUAUACUUGGUGUAGCUGGAAUCAACCCUGGCUGUGCCGUAGCUAACGCGAUAAGUAUACCGCCUGGGGAGUACGCUCGCAAGGGUGAAACUCAAAUGAAUUGACGG
RNAcentral lists this ribosomal RNA (413 nucleotides) under uncultured bacterium. RNAcentral's name for it is "bacterial SSU rRNA". It matches the Rfam family "Bacterial small subunit ribosomal RNA", at positions 505 to 916 of the family's 1533-position model. The record is from RNAcentral.